AAGUCUAACUAAAGGUGAAUUUUUUCUUACCCUAAGUGGAACUUAUUCCUUUUCAUACACGGUGAUAAGAUUUUGGAAACCUAAUUGCAAUUUUUUCACCAUUAUUUUGUUCUAAUUUAUGCUUAUUUCAGUUAUCUGUCUUAUUUUCCUUUGGCAUUGUCACACGUCACAUCUAUGAAAGGUCCAAUCAGAUGAUUUCUUUAUUGUAUGUACUUAAAUCACAUCAUUACAAAAAUUAUGUUUCUUUUUCUUUUUGACUUAAUGUGGGACAAAACUUUACACUGUAUUUUCAUUUGUGUAGAACAACUUGAAGUUGUUGGAUGACAUGGCAGAAUAUAGAUCUAUUGUGUUCUGCAGUGUUCCACGAUUAUAUAUGAUGGGUAUUAUGUGUUUUAUUCAGUAAUGUUUAUUGAUGCUUAAUUAGGUGUGUGGUUAUGAAUGCAGUGAAGUCAUCUGUCAUGUGUUGUGUUGAUAGCAAAAGGAAUCGCAAUUCUGGGAUGAAUUGUGGUUCACAGAAUUUUUAUUCAUUACUCUGAGAUUAAUUGUUAUGCUCAAAUUCCAAUUCCUUUGACAAAUUCCAUUCCAUUACUCUGCAACAAGAAAAGGAUUCUAGAGACUGAAUUCGAUUUUUGGGGGCAUAUAUCUUUAUCAAAUGAGGCUAGACUAAACAAGUUCAAAUUGCUUCAGAUGUAAAUGUUGAGGUGUAAAUUUAUCUGUUUAGAUGUUCGCAACAUUCACCACAUGUUAAUUAUAAAGCUUUCCUUUUAAGUAACAGAUCUUAUGCUGCCUCUUCUUUGAGGUUUCUUUGCAGAUUUCCUGACAUUGAUACUUUUUUACAUUACUCUGGGAUGAAUUGCUAUUCUUAAUUCCAAGUCCUUUGACAAUUUUCAUUCAUUUCUCUGCAAUAAGAAAAGGUUUUGGAAACCAGAUAAAGAAGAACUAAUGAUGGAGAAAAGGAAAAGAAGAUGACCCUGAGAAUCAAAGUGUAAACAUGUACACUUUAAUUUCCAUCGAAUCUCAAUUAAGGGUGUUGUAUUAGGUGAUUAUGCUUUCAUGGAAAUGAAAUGCAAUACAGGAAAUGAUGGGAUUAACAUACUCCAUGUUGAAUCAAUCAAAAAAAGAUUCUGUGAAUUGGGACAUCAUGGAAGGGACAUGCCACACGGUGUGGUCAAUAUAAAAACUUUAGUUGAGUGUAGCCGAUUUUAUUCAAUUACGUUCCUUUAUUGAGGUCUGUAACAUUUUUUUACUUGUUGCGAGUAAAAUGACAAUUUUUGGGACCAAAACUGCAAGAACCAGCUAUUCUUAGUGACCAAAAUAGCCACCUUACUUGGAACAUGGACUGAAAAUGUUACAAGAACAUCAACUUAGGACCCAAAUUCAUAAACUAGCUUUAAUCAAGGACCAUAAUUGUAUUUUACUCUUGUUUCUAAAUAUUAUAUUCUACCUUUUUGUAUCCAUGUGAUUUGUGCUUUUUGGUUUUAGAGGAACAACUGGGAGUAGUUCAUAUUCGGGAUCAUGUCCAUUUUCAUAUAGGGCAAUAAGUUAAUUUCUAAAUGAGCUAUUAAAGUUUGAUAUAACAUGCCGAAUUGGUUGAAAUUACAUUAUUAGCCUCUUUAGACACAGGUAGGUGGUAUGCUUUCUUUGGAAAGUUUGAUGUGGCAACGAAACAAUGCAAGAAGUUUGAAAAUGUGUUGGUUUUCAUCACUUAUUCGGUGCCUCAUAAUAUUCUAGGUAAAUUUAAAUCAAUUAGUUUAAAGAAAGGAAAUUUUCGUUAUAAAUUUAUUUAAUAAUUUUUUAAAUUGGACUCAUAGGAUGUCAGUAUUUGAGGAGUGAAUUUAUUUAAUAUACUCUAAUUUCUUUUCCCUAAAUAAUGUAGUGAAAUCACUCUGUGAAUUUCAUAAUUGCAUGUGAUACAAAGCAACUAAGAUAUUGGAGGAAACGUGAAUUUCAUAAUUGCAUGUGAUACCUAAAUAGCAACUUUAUCAUUUUAUAAAAAAAAUACUAAAGGGUGUUUUGGUCAUUUUACACUACAAUUCUCCUGAUAGAUUUACAAAAUAAAUACAACACAACAGAUGAAUGGAAUCAAAAUUUUUUCUCUUUGCUGUCAACCAUACACAUAACAGAUUCCAAUUCCUUUGACAAAUUUUAAUUAUGUCUAAAAUAUUCUGUGAACCACAAGUUCUAUUACAUUACUCUGAGAUGAAUUGCUAUGCUUAAUUCCAAUUUUUUUUGAUAAAUUCCAUUCUUUACUCUGCAACAAGAAAAAGUUUUAUAAACCAAAUAAAUAACUUAUGGUGGAGAAAAGGAAAAAAGAAGCUCUUGGGAAUCAGUAUUUUAACACUUGAUGCUUUUAUUUGUUCUUAUUAUUUAGGCUUUUUGUUAAUGCUUGAAGAUAGACUUUUAGCUCCAUUGAAUCUCAAAUAAGGGUGUUUGUUGUGUUGGGUGGUUAUGACACAGGAAAUGUUGUGUUUGUGCUUAUCUAUUAUUCUUAAAAAAGAUGUUGAAUAUUGCAUAUUGAAUGGCAUUAAUAAUUGAUACAAGGAAGAUAUUUUUUGCAUAAGUUUAUUUGUAGAUUGUGGAUGAUGCAAUGGAAAAUCAGAGGAAUUAAAGAGAAACUGGAAACACUAGUUGCAGUUUAUUUUAUUAAUAUUCUGAUUUGUUGAGUGUGCAGACCCCUGAGUUUCUUCAGUUGUCAAAGCAGAUUAAGAAGAAGCUGAAAGAAAUUGAUCAAAAAUGAAGUAAAACUUGUGGAUGUUCAAGAGACGAUCUUAGUGGAAGGUUGGAUAGGGACCGACUGACUCUUGAUCUUUCGUUUGAAUUUUGUCAGGAGAGAAGUAACUGAUGAAGAAGGAAGGGUUCAUAUCGGAGGCUGCUUAAAUAUUACUGAUCGGUAAGAUGUCCAGAUGCUGCUGUGAAUCACUCUUCUGCACAAGCCAUAUUUUAUUUGUCAGUGAUUCCUUCUAAUAGUGGUUGAUGGUUAACCUUCUGAUGAAUGUGGGACAUUUUUGUUUUUUCAGGGGUGGCAUACAUGAACCAGUGUAAAAUCGAUCUCUAAAGGUCAUUUCAUCCUCCUUCGACCUUUUCCAUUGCACAACAAAACCCUAGUUUUCUACGAUGGUGAACCGGAGUAUUGGAUAAGAUUGGGAGGAAUACGAUCUCUAAAGGUCAUAUGCUAAUAUUCCGUCAAUGUUCUAGAUAUGAUUGCACUCUGGAGGGGUUUUUACAAAGUUUUCAAGCCACAAAUACAUCAAGAGGAAGAUGAAAUAUGUUGAUAGCAUUGAUAGCGACUUUUUCUCGGUGAAUGAUAUAGAUGAGAUGAUAGAAAUGUUGAUUGCGUACGUAAAAUUAUUUACUACCAUUUCAAACGACCAACCUGGGAUUUAGAUUUUGGGUUGUAUGCUUUGGCUAGUGACCAGGAUAUAAACCACAUUAGGUCAUACAUUUAUGAACACAAGAAUAUAGAAGUGUACACAGAGUUUUGGAAAACCAACCUGCAUACAUAUGAAAUGUCCCUAAACCCUACAAAUACACAUGAAAUUUCUGAGUCCCUUUAUUGUAAAAGGUUUUUCUUGGGAUGGUCAACUAUAGGCGACGAUCAUAGUGAAGAACCCCCUUUUAUAUUGAG
Non-coding RNA from Lactuca sativa (garden lettuce), 3625 nucleotides. The record is from RefSeq and is a predicted model, not a curated record. NCBI's taxonomy places the organism in Eukaryota, Viridiplantae, Streptophyta, Magnoliopsida, Asterales, Asteraceae.